GGGAGGGGAGAGAGAGAAGGGGGGAGGAGGGCGCACAAUAAGGAGAGAAGGAAAUAACAAGGGAAAAAAAAAUAUACCUGGUUCGAUUUUGAAACCUACCAGCAGCAAGCAGCAGUCAAUCUUCUGUUCUUCUCAAUCUUAUUCUUUUUUUCUUUUCCUUUGGACAGCCGACAGUAAGAGAGGAAAAAACCUUCAUUUAUUUUGUGCUAUGUUAUUUAAAGUUUGAUUUGGUGUGGGUGGGAGGUUGAGAGCACAUAUGAUUAUGUAAGAAUAAAAAAAAAAAAUGAGGAGUGGAAUCUGGCUGAGGUGUACCUUUUGGUGCAACUUGCACCUGGUAGGUACAGGGCUUGUGCCUUAGGCGAUCGGGCACCUGGCUGAUGAUGCCUGCCUUUUACCAUUAAUGUCGUUGAGGCUGUGCAUGGUUGUGCCUUUAAAAACGGUGGAUGGGAGUAUCAAUUGCUGAUAUAGGCUAGAGAUCAAUGUGUUGGGAGUUGGGAAUUGAUUCCAUGACUGAUCAUGAUUGUGAAUGUCUUUUGAAGCCAUGUUAUAAUGCGUAGUCAGAGUUAGGUUGGGAAUAGAGAUUCACUACUUCAGUAAAAAACUAUGAGUAAUUAAAUAUUAUGCUUGCAAUAGUGAAUUGAUAUAAUGGCAUGACACUGAACUGGUGUAACAUGAAUAAUAGCAUGGUUACUAACAAAGAUAGGGUUGCAGUAUUUUAUCUUUUGAAAAAACCUUUGUAUGAUUGUAUGUCUGAAAGGGAGAAGUGCUUUUACUCAUGGUCGUGAAAGUUUCAUGUUAGCUAGUGGCUUUUUCGGUGGUGGAGGUGUGGACUGGUUAUUAAUUGUGUGAUACUGGUAAUUGGUUGCUUGUCAACUGAAAAUUAGACACUGCAUGCGCAAGUAGGAACAUGGGUUUUUCUUUUUCCUUUUUUUUUGGAAUAUUAAGAAUAACACUUUGGUGGCUUUGUUGUGUAAUUUUCAAUUUGGUGCCUUCAAACUUUUUGUUUUCUAUAUUCAAUGGAGUUGCAAUCAAUGUCAUGUUAAAUUAGGAAAUGUGCAGUUGGUUUUAAGCUAUUCCUUUC
This 1081-nucleotide unclassified non-coding RNA is filed under the name Hevea brasiliensis (rubber tree). The record is from RNAcentral. Lineage: Eukaryota; Viridiplantae; Streptophyta; Magnoliopsida; Malpighiales; Euphorbiaceae.